Molecule: transfer RNA, 72 nt
Filed under: Acidimicrobiales bacterium
Lineage: Bacteria; Bacillati; Actinomycetota; Acidimicrobiia; Acidimicrobiales
Description: tRNA-Arg
Rfam family: tRNA
About the family: Transfer RNA (tRNA) molecules are approximately 80 nucleotides in length. Their secondary structure includes four short double-helical elements and three loops (D, anti-codon, and T loops).
Source: RNAcentral
GCCCUCGUAGCUCAGGGGAUAGAGCAUCCGCCUCCGGAGCGGUGUGCGCAGGUUCGAAUCCUGCCGAGGGCG